This 161-nucleotide ribosomal RNA is filed under the name Ophrys holosericea subsp. biancae. Its description in RNAcentral is "Ophrys fuciflora subsp. biancae 5.8S ribosomal RNA". The stretch from base 1 to 120 matches the Rfam family "5.8S ribosomal RNA", at positions 37 to 154 of the family's 154-position model. From Rfam's summary of the family: 5.8S ribosomal RNA (5.8S rRNA) is a component of the large subunit of the eukaryotic ribosome. It is transcribed by RNA polymerase I as part of the 45S precursor that also contains 18S and 28S rRNA. Lineage: Eukaryota; Viridiplantae; Streptophyta; Magnoliopsida; Asparagales; Orchidaceae. The record is from RNAcentral.
UGAAGAGCGCAGCGAAAUGCGAUACGUGGUGCGAAUUGCAGAAUCCCGUGAACCAUCGAGUUUUUGAACGCAAGUUGCGCCUGAGGCCAGCUGGCCAAGGGCACGUCCGCCUGGGCGUCAAGCAUUAAAUCGCUCCAUAAGACGCCCGAUGCUACGAGCGU